GAUGAAGAACGUAGCGAAAUGCGAUACGUAAUGUGAAUUGCAGAAUUCCGUGAAUCAUCGAAUCUUUGAACGCACAUUGCGCCCUUUGGUAUUCCUUAGGGCAUGCCUGUUCGAGCGUCAUUUAAACCUUCAAGCUAAGCUUGGUGUUGGGUGACUGUCCGCUUCACGGCGGACUCGCCUCAAAAUUAUUGGCGGCCGGUACAUUGGCUUCGAGCGCAGCAGAAACGCGAACUCGGGCCCGUCGUAUUGGCUCCCAGAAGCUAUCUUCACAAUUUUGACCUCGGAUCAGGUAGGGAUACCCGCUGAACUUAAGCAUAUCAAUAAGCGGAGGA
Molecule: unclassified non-coding RNA, 332 nt
Filed under: soil metagenome
Description: partial contains 5.8S ribosomal RNA, internal transcribed spacer 2, and large subunit ribosomal RNA
Rfam family: 5.8S ribosomal RNA (bases 1-120)
Source: RNAcentral